GGAGCUUGCUCCAAAGUUAGUGGCGAACGGGUGAGUAAUGCGUCGGAACGUACCGAGUAAUGGGGGAUAACGCAGCGAAAGCUGUGCUAAUACCGCAUACGCCCUGAGGGGGAAAGUGGGGGAUCGCAAGACCUCACGUUAUUCGAGCGGCCGACGUCUGAUUAGCUAGUUGGUGGGGUAAAGGCCUACCAAGGCGACGAUCAGUAGCGGGUCUGAGAGGAUGAUCCGCCACACUGGAACUGAGACACGGUCCAGACUCCUACGGGAGGCAGCAGUGGGGAAUUUUGGACAAUGGGGGCAACCCUGAUCCAGCCAUUCCGCGUGAGUGAAGAAGGCCUUCGGGUUGUAAAGCUCUUUCAGCUGGAACGAAACGGUACAUCCUAAUACGGUGUGCUAAUGACGGUACCGGCAGAAGAAGCACCGGCUAACUACGUGCCAGCAGCCGCGGUAAUACGUAGGGUGCGAGCGUUAAUCGGAAUUACUGGGCGUAAAGCGUGCGCAGGCGGAUUGUUAAGCAAGAUGUGAAAUCCCCGGGCUUAACCUGGGAAUGGCAUUUUGAACUGGCAGUCUAGAGUGUGUCAGAGGGGGGUGGAAUUCCACGUGUAGCAGUGAAAUGCGUAGAGAUGUGGAGGAACACCAAUGGCGAAGGCAGCCCCCUGGGAUAACACUGACGCUCAUGUACGAAAGCGUGGGUAGCAAACAGGAUUAGAUACCCUGGUAGUCCACGCCCUAAACGAUGUCAACUGGUUGUUGGGGGGAGUGAAAUCCCUUAGUAACGAAGCUAACGCGUGAAGUUGACCGCCUGGGGAGUACGGUCGCAGAUUUAAAACUCAAAGGAAUUGACGGGG
RNAcentral lists this ribosomal RNA (848 nucleotides) under uncultured bacterium. RNAcentral describes it as "bacterial SSU rRNA". It matches the Rfam family "Bacterial small subunit ribosomal RNA", at positions 75 to 918 of the family's 1533-position model. The record is from RNAcentral.